GCUUAGCUCAGUUGGUAGAGUGCCGGACUGCAGAGCGGGAGGUUGCGGGUUCGAGUCCCAGCCGGACCA
Molecule: non-coding RNA, 69 nt
Organism: Desmophyllum pertusum
Lineage: Eukaryota; Metazoa; Cnidaria; Anthozoa; Scleractinia; Caryophylliidae
Source: the annotation of a GenBank genome assembly